AAAAACUGAUAUCAAUCACAAAUAUUCUGUUUCAGGCAAAUACAGGGAAAAGUUGUUGAAAUUUCCAAACUUCAAGAAAUAUUUACAGAGAAAGUUCUUCAGCAGGAGAGUGAUGUCAACAGAAUAGCAGAGACCGUAGCUGGGACAACAGAAAAUAUCAUAGAAGGAAAUGAGGAACUUCGAGAGGCUAUGAAGAAAAAUGCAGGAUUUCGUGUUUGGAUCUUGUUCUUUCUGUUGGUAAUUUCCUUUUCACUGCUGUUCCUCGACUGGUAUAAUCCAUAGCCAUGUGAAAGUUUAUAUUUGUCAAUGUAUUAUAAAAUAAAAUUUACACAGAAUUAA
This is a long non-coding RNA of Limulus polyphemus (Atlantic horseshoe crab), 339 nucleotides long. RefSeq lists it as uncharacterized. The record is from RefSeq and is a predicted model, not a curated record. NCBI's taxonomy places the organism in Eukaryota, Metazoa, Arthropoda, Merostomata, Xiphosura, Limulidae. The transcript has 3 exons.